UGUGUGUGAUGAAAUGUCUUUACCUGACUUCUCUGAUGGUAAACACUGAUUUAAUGAGCCUGAUGC
RNAcentral lists this small nucleolar RNA (66 nucleotides) under Gouania willdenowi (blunt-snouted clingfish). The record is from RNAcentral. Lineage: Eukaryota; Metazoa; Chordata; Actinopteri; Blenniiformes; Gobiesocidae.